Molecule: non-coding RNA, 495 nt
Filed under: Enkleia siamensis
Lineage: Eukaryota; Viridiplantae; Streptophyta; Magnoliopsida; Malvales; Thymelaeaceae
Description: partial transfer RNA-Leu(UAA)
Rfam family: Group I catalytic intron (bases 1-408)
About the family: Group I catalytic introns are large self-splicing ribozymes. They catalyse their own excision from mRNA, tRNA and rRNA precursors in a wide range of organisms.
Source: RNAcentral
UUAUUGGAUUGAGCCUUGGUAUGGAAACCUACUAAGUGAGAACUUUCAAAUUCAGAGAAACCCUGGAAUUAAAAAUGGGCAAUCCUGAGCCAAAUCCUGUUUGUUUUACGAAAAUAAACAAAGGUUCGGAAAGAAAGAAUUUUUAAAAAGGGAUAGGUGCAGAGACUCAAUGGAAGCUGUUCUAACAAAUGGGGUUUGACUACCUUGGCAUUAGUAAAGGAUGAAGGAUAAACCUAUACGCAUACCUAAAGGUAAUAUUGUGAAUUAGUACUGAUUCCAAGUUGAAGAAGGAAUCGAAUACAACAUUCAUUAAUAAAAUCAUUCACCCCAUAGUUUGAUAAAUCUUUUGAACAACUGGUUAAUCGGACGAGAAUAAAGAUAGAGUCCCGCUCUACAUGUCAAUAUCAAUACUGACAACAAUGAAAUUUAUAGUAAGAGGAAAAUCCGUCGACUUUAAAAAUCGUGAGGGUUCAAGUCCCUCUAAUCUUACCCUCU